This is a long non-coding RNA of Pungitius pungitius (ninespine stickleback), 1529 nucleotides long. RefSeq lists it as uncharacterized. The record is from RefSeq and is a predicted model, not a curated record. Lineage: Eukaryota; Metazoa; Chordata; Actinopteri; Perciformes; Gasterosteidae. The transcript has 3 exons.
CCAACAACGUUGAUUAACGAAAUAAAACCCAGGUGAAAUAAAACCAUGAUUAAAACAAAUAAACAUGGCGCCCCCGCCAUAUGUACGGCAUGUUAUAUGUGUUUGGUGGGGGCGCGACGGUCACGCGCAGCGGAGCUUAUGGUUGCGUGCGUUGCAAGGCAAUGGUCACACUCGGAUCAAGCUAACGUAACAUCAGUGCAAACUCUGGUGCAAAGGAACGAAGAAAAGCAGCAGGAGGAGAAGAAAGCCCUGUAAAGAGCUGCAGGUGAAGAGACAUGUAGGACCACACCUAGCACAGCAGCCGGUGAAACAGAGCAUGCAGCAGGUGAAGGAGCAACGAGACACAACUCGCCCUGAUUCUGCACUACAGCCUGCAGACACUUUCUCCCCCACAACAAGUUCUGAUGUCCAUGAGUCCAUCAGGGAAGAACCGAUUGAUCCUGCUGACUGGCCAACCCUGUCUGGCCAAAGUUACUAAAAAUUAAAAUAUUCUGAGACCAUUAUAUUUGCUUGUAGUACAUUUAUCAAAUAUAAAUGUACAAUAUAAUACAAACAACAUAGUGUACCUAUAAUGUAUAGCAGAAUGAUAACAUGGAAUGGAAGUGGUUCAAAGUGGCCGUAGGUGGGAGGGCGCAAAUCUUAGUAUCGCCUAGGGCAGUGUUUCUCAACUGGUGGGUCGCGGACCCGUUUGUAGUGGGUCGCGGGCCUUUGCAUGGCUCGUCCGUCCAUGUUUUCCGUCAGCGCGGCAAUUAGAACGCGGAAGCGUACACCCCAUCUGCAAAAUAAAAACUUCUAUCUAAUACCACCAAUAAAUGAUUAAGUCAUUCAAAUGAAUAAAGUCACAAGCAGAUGGACUUAAAAUACGCAGAUUCAAAUGUGGCUGAAAUAGCAAGAGAAUUAAAACAACAAGCAAUUCCUGUGUUGGGUGUAGAGCGGUUACAUAUUCAUAUAUUUUAAUAAACCUAUUAAACCUGCUGAAGGACACUAUUGCAAUAAAGUAGUCCGAUCCAAAGGACUGCUAGGUAUUUUGAGUUCAUGCUACAAAAUGGAAUGCCCCGUUCUUUUUUUUACAGUACAAUAUCUUAGCAGCAGGUCAUUGUUGCCUUAACAUUAACUUCAUUACAGUGGUUUUAGUAGUUUCAUCUUCAGCAGGGUAUCACAUUUCAUAAAACUCUCCAUAGGUCAUCUCUGCCAGCUCUUAUUCUUAAAAACACAACUGGAUCAGUUAACCAGUUUAAAGUAGUGGUAUACUUUACCAUUGCUUUUACAUAUAGUUUAGCUAUUUGUAAUAAUCAAAUGACUAACACUACGUUACCUUUUCGGGGGCCCACUUCAUACAAAUAUGCAUACAAAAAAUACACAAAAAAAAGUAGGUCACAUGAACACAUUUAUUUGUCUUGCAUAUUGGUUGAUGAAUCAAACGUCCUUAUCAUUCACUAUCCUUAUGUUGCCAUACAAAUAAUGCAACUGACUAAUCAGCACACGGCCUACUGUUAAACAAAACAAAUGUAUAUGACGAUGGCGGAAGA